AUAAUCUUCACAAUCAUAAGCUCAGAUAUGGACAUGAAAUUCAUAUUAUUUGUCGUUGUAGCAGUCGGAAUGCUGGAUAUUGCAACUUGUUUAACUCCGUUCCAACUCAGAUUUAGGAUCAGCAAAGCCCUCUGUGCACCAGUUUCAGGACACGAAAAAGAUAUCGUUCCAUGUUAUCAGUUUCAUACCAACAAAACAGUUCAAGCAAAAGAUUGUGGAAAAAAACGAAUACCCAUUGCUGUAUGUACAAUUGUACUUGCAUCAUGAAAGGAGCUGGCACAAAGCGCGGUAUUAUCCCGAAUGAAUACAAGUUGCCGCCUUCUUUGCUUAAAUUCAACAGCAGUGGAAACUUCACCAAUCGCUUAACGAAGUGUGUACCCGAGUCGACUCCAAACACAACUUCUCAGCCGAAACCAACUGUGGGCAUCCAGAAUCUUCCGAA
This is a non-coding RNA of Styela clava, 442 nucleotides long. Lineage: Eukaryota; Metazoa; Chordata; Ascidiacea; Stolidobranchia; Styelidae. The record is from RefSeq and is a predicted model, not a curated record.